AGGGAAUCUUCGGCAAUGGGGGCAACCCUGACCGAGCAACGCCGCGUGAGUGAAGAAGGUUUUCGGAUCGUAAAGCUCUGUUGUAAGAGAAGAACGAGUGUGAGAGUGGAAAGUUCACACUGUGACGGUAACUUACCAGAAAGGGACGGCUAACUACGUGCCAGCAGCCGCGGUAAUACGUAGGUCCCGAGCGUUAUCCGGAUUUAUUGGGCGUAAAGCGAGCGCAGGCGGUUAGAUAAGUCUGAAGUUAAAGGCUGUGGCUUAACCAUAGUACGCUUUGGAAACUGUUUAACUUGAGUGCAGAAGGGGAGAGUGGAAUUCCAUGUGUAGCGGUGAAACGCGUAGAUAUAUGGAGGAACACCGGUGGCGAAAGCGGCUCUCUGGUCUGUAACUGACGCUGAGGCUCGAAAGCGUGGGGAGCAAACAGGAUUAGAUACCCUGGUAGUCCACGCCGUAAACGAUGAGUGCUAGGUGUUGGGUCCUUUCCGGGACUCAGUGCCGCAGCUAACGCAUUAAGCACUCCGCCUGGGGAGUACGACCGCAAGGUUG
This 549-nucleotide ribosomal RNA is filed under the name uncultured bacterium. RNAcentral's name for it is "bacterial SSU rRNA". It matches the Rfam family "Bacterial small subunit ribosomal RNA", at positions 356 to 896 of the family's 1533-position model. The record is from RNAcentral.